Long non-coding RNA from Lingula anatina, 990 nucleotides. Lineage: Eukaryota; Metazoa; Brachiopoda; Lingulata; Lingulida; Lingulidae. The record is from RefSeq and is a predicted model, not a curated record.
GUAAAACCAGGAGGAAACCGCGGUUAAAUAGGAAACCGCAAGGAAAUUGAUUAUGCUCAUAAUCGAGGGUACUUAGAGAGCACACUGUAUUUCACAAAUUGUCCAGAAAUCUCUAGACUUUUAGGCGAUUAGAAUGUAUCUUAUUGUGUUCCUUGUGCGAAUUUCAUGGCAUGUUGUUUGAAGACGACAUUGGUCUUAGCUUAGACUUUUGAGCAGGUUAGUGUCCCCUUUGCGAAAUAUCUAAAUGAACCUUUUCUUCGUGUCUUCCAUUUUAACUGAAACAAUGGAAAAUGGCGUAGCAAUAUACUGCGAGUGGCCAUGCAUGGUGACAAAAUAAAGUCCCGUUAGCUAGUAGCCACAGGUACCUGGAUUUGCUGUAUUCAUCAAAUAAAACUAUUUAUUAGUCUGGAUUAAUGUGCGUAUUGCAUGUAUUCAAUAUUGGUGUUUUUUCUGGUUUUACAGCUCCGAGAACUCAAACUUGAAAGAUGCGUCCGUCCAAAAGAUUGUCGAACGCAGCGUGCUGCAGACAAGGAAGUAGAUGCGCAUUUAGAAAGGUGUCCGUUAGAUAUCUGUAGAGACCACUUGGAAAACAACCAUUGGAGAAACAAUGAAGUAAAGACAGAUACAUUCAUUACUAUUUGACACUGCUUUUAAUUCAUGGAUUACAUCAAUACUUUUCAGUUUCGAUCUAUUGAAUGUAAUAAAUAAAUUCAGACUUCAAAUCGCCUUUAAUAAAGUUGGAUGUUGAUAUCGAUGUUAGUUUUGAGGGUCCUUUCCUUACUUAUGUGAAUCCUUUUUUAUGUACAGACAAAGAUGUGUCUGUACAUAUUGCCAUCACCUGCGUUUGUUGUCGCCGUCGCUGUCGCCGUGCACUUUCAGCGUUAAACACACGAUAAGUGGUAGACAGCUUUACUUUUUGGCUUUAUAUUUACAGAGCUGAUGAAUAUUCAUAAAACGCAGGUCAAGUUAAAAAAUCAGCAUGAUCGGGCC